Molecule: ribosomal RNA, 423 nt
Filed under: uncultured bacterium
Lineage: Bacteria
Also listed under: 2 other names
Description: bacterial SSU rRNA
Rfam family: Bacterial small subunit ribosomal RNA
Source: RNAcentral
UGAGGAAUAUUGGACAAUGGAUGGAAAUCUGAUCCAGCCAUGCCGCGUGCAGGAAGGCGGCCCUAUGGGUUGUAAACUGCUUUUGUACGGGAGCAAUAAGGUCUACGAGUAGAUUGAUGAGAGUACUGUACGAAUAAGCAUCGGCUAACUCCGUGCCAGCAGCCGCGGUAAUACGGAGGAUGCGAGCGUUAUCCGGAUUUAUUGGGUUUAAAGGGUGCGUAGGCUGUUAUGUAAGUCAGUGGUAAAAGGUACAGGCUUAACUUGUAUAUGCCAUUGAAACUGUAUAGCUAGGAUAUGGAUGAAGUGUGCGGAAUGUGUGGUGUAGCGGUGAAAUGCAUAGAUAUCACACAGAACACCGAUAGCGAAGGCAGCACACUAAGGCAAUAUUGACGCUGAGGCACGAAAGUGUGGGGAUCAAACAGG